RNAcentral lists this ribosomal RNA (253 nucleotides) under uncultured bacterium. RNAcentral's name for it is "partial 16S ribosomal RNA". It matches the Rfam family "Bacterial small subunit ribosomal RNA", at positions 524 to 776 of the family's 1533-position model. The record is from RNAcentral.
UACGAAGGGGGCUAGCGUUGCUCGGAAUCACUGGGCGUAAAGGGCGCGUAGGCGGAUCUUUAAGUCGGGGGUGAAAGCCCAGGGCUCAACCCUGGAAUUGCCUUCGAUACUGAAGAUCUCGAGACCGGAAGAGGUAAGUGGAACUGCGAGUGUAGAGGUGAAAUUCGUAGAUAUUCGCAAGAACACCAAUGGCGAAGGCGGCUUACUGGUCCGGUUCUGACGCUGAGGCGCGAAAGCGUGGGGAGCAAACAGG